GUGACCGUGGUGCAGUCCAUUGGCACGGAGGUCAUCGGCACACUGCGGCCUGACUAUCGAGACCGUAUCCGGCUCUUUGAAAAUGGCUCCCUGCUUCUCAGCGACUUGCAGCUGGCCGAUGAGGGCACCUAUGAGGUCGAGAUCUCCAUCACCGACGACACCUUCACUGGGGAGAAGACCAUCAACCUUACUGUAGAUGUGCCCAUUUCGAGGCCACAGGUGUUGGUGGCUUCAACCACUGUGCUGGAGCUCAGCGAGGCCUUCACCUUGAACUGCUCACACGAGAAUGGCACCAAGCCCAGCUACACCUGGCUGAAGGAUGGCAAGCCCCUCCUCAAUGACUCGAGAAUGCUCCUGUCCCCCGACCAAAAGGUGCUCACCAUCACCCGCGUGCUCAUGGAGGACGAUGACCUGUACAGCUGCGUGGUGGAGAACCCCAUCAGCCAGGGCCGCAGCCUGCCCGUCAAGAUCACCGUAUACAGUGAGUUUCCCUGCAGACUUUCCUUUAGGACUCAAAGCCCCGAGAGGCAGGUGACCAUGAGGGACUGAGGACAUCCCAAAGAAAUGUCACUGGGGGGAGGGGAACAGAGAUGGG
Molecule: small RNA, 595 nt
Filed under: Pongo abelii (Sumatran orangutan)
Lineage: Eukaryota; Metazoa; Chordata; Mammalia; Primates; Hominidae
Description: retained intron
Source: RNAcentral